GCUCCCUUAGGUCAGCGGCGGACGGGUGAGUAACACGUGGGUAACCUGCCUGUAAGACUGGGAUAACUCCGGGAAACCGGGGCUAAUACCGGAUGCUUGAUUGAACCGCAUGGUUCAAUCAUAAAAGGUGGCUUUCAGCUACCACUUGCAGAUGGACCCGCGGCGCAUUAGCUAGUUGGUGAGGUAACGGCUCACCAAGGCGACGAUGCGUAGCCGACCUGAGAGGGUGAUCGGCCACACUGGGACUGAGACACGGCCCAGACUCCUACGGGAGGCAGCAGUAGGGAAUCUUCCGCAAUGGACGAAAGUCUGACGGAGCAACGCCGCGUGAGUGAUGAAGGUUUUCGGAUCGUAAAACUCUGUUGUUAGGGAAGAACAAGUACCGUUCGAAUAGGGCGGUACCUUGACGGUACCUAACCAGAAAGCCACGGCUAACUACGUGCCAGCAGCCGCGGUAAUACGUAGGUGGCAAGCGUUGUCCGGAAUUAUUGGGCGUAAAGCGCGCGCAGGCGGUUUCUUAAGUCUGAUGUGAAAGCCCCCGGCUCAACCGGGGAGGGUCAUUGGAAACUGGGGAACUUGAGUGCAGAAGAGGAGAGUGGAAUUCCACGUGUAGCGGUGAAAUGCGUAGAGAUGUGGAGGAACACCAGUGGCGAAGGCGACUCUCUGGUCUGUAACUGACGCUGAGGCGCGAAAGCGUGGGGAGCGAACAGGAUUAGAUACCCUGGUAGUCCACGCCGUAAACGAUGAGUGCUAAGUGUUAGAGGGUUUCCGCCCUUUAGUGCUGCAGCAAACGCAUUAAGCACUCCGCCUGGGGAGUACGGUCGCAAGACUGAAACUCAAAGGAAUUGACGGGGGCCCGCACAAGCGGUGGAGCAUGUGGUUUAAUUCGAAGCAACGCGAAGAACCUUACCAGGUCUUGACAUCCUCUGACAACCCUAGAGAUAGGGCUUCCCCUUCGGGGGCAGAGUGACAGGUGGUGCAUGGUUGUCGUCAGCUCGUG
RNAcentral lists this ribosomal RNA (1000 nucleotides) under Bacillus sp. (in: firmicutes). RNAcentral's name for it is "bacterial SSU rRNA". It matches the Rfam family "Bacterial small subunit ribosomal RNA", at positions 81 to 1064 of the family's 1533-position model. The record is from RNAcentral. Lineage: Bacteria; Bacillati; Bacillota; Bacilli; Caryophanales; Bacillaceae.